AUCGAUGAAGAACGCAGCGAAAUGCGAUAAGUAAUGUGAAUUGCAGAAUUCAGUGAAUCAUCGAAUCUUUGAACGCACAUUGCGCCCCUUGGUAUUCCGGGGGGCAUGCCUGUUCGAGCGUCAUUACACCAAUCAAGCACGGCUUGGCAUUAGGUCUCUUUCGUCCGCGGUCGAACGCGGGCGGGCCUCAAAACCUUCGGCAGAGUCUGACCGACUUUGGGCGUAGCAGAAUCUUUCUAAACGUCCUCACAGUCACAAGUCUUUGGCCGCCAAAACUUCCACCCUCACGGGAGGAUAAUUUUCUAAGGUUGACCUCGGAUCAGGUAGGAAUACCCGCUGAACUUAAGCAUAUCAAUAAGCGGAGGAAAAGAAACCAACAGGGAUUGCCUUAGUAACGGCGAGUGAAGCGGCAACAGCUCAAAUUUGAAAUCUGGCCCUUUCAGGGUCCGAGUUGUAAUUUGUAGAGGAUGCUUUGGGGCAGCCACCGGUCUAAGUUCCUUGGAACAGGACGUCACAGAGGGUGAGAAUCCCGUAUGUGGCCGGAAGGGCACCCUAUGUAAAGCUCCUUCGACGAGUCGGGUUGUUUGGGAAUGCAGCCCUAAUUGGGAGGUAAAUUUCUUCUAAAGCUAAAUACCGGCCAGAGACCGAUAGCGCACAAGUAGAGUGAUCGAAAGAUGAAAAGCACUUUGGAAAGAGAGUUAAAAAGCACGUGAAAUUGUUGAAAGGGAAGCGCUUGCAAUCAGUCUCGACGGCGGCUGUUCGAUUGGUCUUCUGACCGGUUUACUCAGUCGCCGCCGGGCCAGCAUCAGUUUGGGCGGCCGGAUAAAGGUUCUUGGAAUGUAGCUCCCCCGGGAGUGUUAUAGCCUCGAAUGUAAUACGGCCAGCCCGGACUGAGGUCCGCGCUUCGGCUAGGAUGCUGGCAAAAUGGUUGUAAGCGGCCCGUCUUGAAACACGG
This 955-nucleotide ribosomal RNA is filed under the name uncultured fungus. RNAcentral's name for it is "eukaryotic LSU rRNA". The stretch from base 310 to 955 matches the Rfam family "Eukaryotic large subunit ribosomal RNA", at positions 1 to 664 of the family's 3401-position model. The record is from RNAcentral. Lineage: Eukaryota; Fungi.